ACGAACGCUGGCGGCGUGCUUAACACCUGCAAGUCGAACGGAAAGGCCCUGCUUUUGUGGGGUGCUCGAGUGGCGAACGGGUGAGUAACACGUGAGUAACCUGCCCUUGACUUUGGGAUAACUUCAGGAAACUGGGGCUAAUACCGGAUAGGAGCUCCUGCUGCAUGGUGGGGGUUGGAAAGUUUCGGCGGUUGGGGAUGGACUCGCGGCUUAUCAGCUUGUUGGUGGGGUAGUGGCUUACCAAGGCUUUGACGGGUAGCCGGCCUGAGAGGGUGACCGGCCACAUUGGGACUGAGAUACGGCCCAGACUCCUACGGGAGGCAGCAGUGGGGAAUAUUGCACAAUGGGCGGAAGCCUGAUGCAGCAACGCCGCGUGCGGGAUGACGGCCUUCGGGUCGUAAACCGCUUUCGCCUGUGACGAAGCGUGAGUGACGGUAAUGGGUAAAGAAGCACCGGCUAACUACGUG
This 467-nucleotide ribosomal RNA is filed under the name uncultured bacterium. RNAcentral describes it as "partial 16S ribosomal RNA". It matches the Rfam family "Bacterial small subunit ribosomal RNA", at positions 29 to 507 of the family's 1533-position model. The record is from RNAcentral.